AUGCUCUCGGCGCCCACCGUCUUCUGCAUGGCCGUCAUCGAUGAUGCUUCAGGGUACAUUGCCGUCCGCUUCCUUAUUGGCUUCUCCCUCGCCACCUUCGUGUCGUGCCAGUACUGGAUGAGCACCAUGUUCAAUAGCAAGAUCAUUGGCACGGUCAAUGGCUUGGCUGCAGGCUGGGGCAACAUGGGUGGUGGCGCCACACAGCUCAUCAUGCCGCUUGUCUUCCACGCAAUCCAGAAGUGUGGUGCCACGCCCUUCGUAGCAUGGCGUAUUGCCUACUUCGUGCCGGGAAUGAUGCACAUCGUGAUGGGCUUGCUGGUGCUCACUAUGGGCCAAGAUCUCCCCGACGGGAACCUUGCGAGUCUCCAGAAGAAGGGAGACAUGGCCAAGGACAAGUUCUCGAAGGUCCUUUGGGGCGCUGUCACCAACUACCGGACAUGGAUCUUCGUCCUCCUCUACGGCUACUGCAUGGGUGUCGAGCUCACCACCGACAAUGUCAUCGCCGAGUACUACUACGACCACUUCCACCUAGACCUCCGCGCUGCAGGCACCAUUGCCGCUUGUUUCGGCAUGGCAAACAUUGUCGCGCGUCCUAUGGGGGGCUACCUCUCUGACCUUGGUGCCCGCUACUUUGGCAUGCGUGCUCGCCUUUGGAACAUCUGGAUCCUCCAAACUGCCGGUGGCGCUUUCUGCAUCUGGCUCGGUCGUGCGUCAGCCCUCCCUGCCUCAGUGACUGCCAUGGUUCUCUUCUCCAUCUGCGCCCAAGCCGCGUGUGGUGCUGUAUUUGGCGUCGCACCCUUCGUUUCUAGACGUUCCCUUGGCAUCAUCUCCGGGCUGACCGGUGCUGGUGGAAACGUGGGUGCAGGGCUCACGCAGCUUCUCUUCUUUACUUCAUCACAAUACUCCACUGGAAGGGGUCUCGAGUACAUGGGCAUCAUGAUCAUGGCAUGCACGCUGCCUGUCGCUCUUGUGCACUUCCCACAGUGGGGCUCGAUGUUCUUCCCGGCCAGCGCCGACGCCACAGAGGAGGAAUACUAUGCCUCCGAGUGGUCGGAGGAGGAGAAGAACAAGGGUCUCCAUAUUGCUGGCCAAAAGUUUGCCGAGAACUCACGAUCGGAGCGUGGAAGGAGCAACGUCAUCCUUGCCACGUCCGCCACACCACCUAACAAUACGCCCCAGCACGUAUAA
This 1188-nucleotide ribosomal RNA is filed under the name Triticum aestivum (bread wheat). RNAcentral's name for it is "partial small subunit ribosomal RNA". The record is from RNAcentral. Lineage: Eukaryota; Viridiplantae; Streptophyta; Magnoliopsida; Poales; Poaceae.